GGUUGGCGUGGAGUGGUACCAUG
This 23-nucleotide microRNA is filed under the name Tribolium castaneum (red flour beetle). RNAcentral describes it as "tca-miR-3851o-2-5p". The record is from miRBase by way of RNAcentral. Lineage: Eukaryota; Metazoa; Arthropoda; Insecta; Coleoptera; Tenebrionidae.